Molecule: non-coding RNA, 1106 nt
Organism: Paramuricea clavata
Lineage: Eukaryota; Metazoa; Cnidaria; Anthozoa; Malacalcyonacea; Plexauridae
Source: the annotation of a GenBank genome assembly
AGGCUAUUAAAUAUCUGUCAAUUUAACAUUUGAUAGAAUUUUCGAGAUUUUUUAUGUGAAGUCAAUGGUUUCACUUAGUAAAAAUGGUCCUCAUAUUGUUACAUUUUCAUAAAAAAUGUCUUUUUUCUUUAAAAUUCCCCACCGGCGCUUAGCACCUGGGAAAUUACCCGCUCUUUUUUUUAAUUGCCCGCUCCUUUUACCCGCUCCUUUUUUAAUUACCCGCUCCUUUUACCCGCGACCCGCUCCUUUUACCCGCGACCCGCUACCCGCUCCAAUUAGAUACUCCCUUUAUAGAGCAUAGGGCCGCUAUAACGAGUAAAUACAAUACCCAAAACAAAUUACUUUCACUGCAAACAAAAACAAAAUAACCAAUAAAACUAUGCUUUUUAUUAAUUAUGCACAUAUAUUGCCAUCGGGACACGUUAAACCCCCAUCAAGUUGGAAAACCACAUCUACUUAACCCCCGGUUACCGCGGAUAGAAAACCCAAUACCCCUAGUUAACCUCCACCCCUGCUUCCUAUCCCUCGUUCCCCGAUCUACCAGGCCCUAUUCCCUCACGACAUUAUAUUAUAGAUAAUUUUAUCUAAUACUUUUAAUCCAGAUAUGUUUAUAUAACUUUGUCUAUGAUAAGAUAAAAGAAUUAACUAACUGUUAGGAUUUGAACUCAGUACAGGGGGGAAUUUCGUUCUCGACCAAUCAGCGCAUUUGUUGACAAUUUCGCUCUAAGUCAAUCAGAAUGCGUAAUUGGUUAUUGUAGGUAGUUUCCCUGCGAGCACAGAAAGCCCACUUCCGGUAAAAACACACAUUUGAACAGAAAAUAUAGGCCAGGGUCUUAAAUAAAGCUUCGAGGGAGUCAGGAUUUUUAGUUUUUUGAUCGGAUUCAACGUGACAAGGUAAAAUGCCUAGUUCUAAAAUUAUCGGCAGUCGAACUUACGCAUGAAUGCCGAUAACUUUGAAACUACGCAAUAAAACGCAAAUCCCAGUGGCAAAUUUUUAGAAAAUUUCUAAUCUACCUUGUCAUGUUAAAUCCAAUCAAAACAAUUUAAAAUCCUGACCCCCUCGAAGCUUUAUUCAAUUAAGCCCCUAUAUUUCUGUUCAAAUGCGU